GGCUUCUAGCCUCUAAAACUGUGGGACAACAUAUUUCUCUUCUUUAAGGUACCCAGUUUGUGGUUCUUUUUAUGGCAGCCCUGGCAAACCAAUACAGUUAGUAAUGGUGAUAUUGUUUUAAAAAGUUAAUAGAGGGUUGGGCACAUGGUUCAGUCCUGUAAUCCCAGCACUUUGGGAGACUGAGGUGGGCAGAUUGCUUGAGUGCAGGAAGUGCUGGAGCUCUCAGAGCCACAUUUCAUGACCCUUGUUUGACAGGAACUUUGCUAACAGAUGCAGGGAGGGACAGCCUUUGGAAUUCCUUGAGGUAAUGUUAUGUUAUACCAAAAAUAUCUACUAGGGUUUUACAGAAAUGCCAAACAUUUUCGUAGAGUCUUUGGAAUUCCUGUAGAAGGGUUUUACAUAGGAGCCAUCAUUUUUAGUGUACAAAUUUUCUUGUGAUUUCAUCAUGG
RNAcentral lists this long non-coding RNA (449 nucleotides) under Homo sapiens (human). RNAcentral's name for it is "non-protein coding lnc-GABPA-20:3". Lineage: Eukaryota; Metazoa; Chordata; Mammalia; Primates; Hominidae. The record is from RNAcentral.